Molecule: ribosomal RNA, 442 nt
Filed under: uncultured bacterium
Lineage: Bacteria
Description: bacterial SSU rRNA
Rfam family: Bacterial small subunit ribosomal RNA
Source: RNAcentral
GAUGAACGCUGGCGGCGCGCCUAACACAUGCAAGUCGAACGGCACCUGCCUUCGGGCAGAAGCGAGUGGCGAACGGCUGAGUAACACGUGGAGAACCUGCCCCCUCCCCCGGGAUAGCCGCCCGAAAGGACGGGUAAUACCGGAUACCCCGGGGUGCCGCAUGGCACCCCGGCUAAAGCCCCGACGGGAGGGGAUGGCUCCGCGGCCCAUCAGGUAGACGGCGGGGUGACGGCCCACCGUGCCGACAACGGGUAGCCGGGUUGAGAGACCGACCGGCCAGAUUGGGACUGAGACACGGCCCAGACUCCUACGGGAGGCAGCAGUGGGGAAUCUUGCGCAAUGGGGGGAACCCUGACGCAGCGACGCCGCGUGCGGGACGGAGGCCUUCGGGUCGUAAACCGCUUUCAGCAGGGAAGAGUCAAGACUGUACCUGCAGAAGAAG